UAGGGAAUAUUAGAAAUGGACGAAAGUCUGAUCUAGCAACACCGCGUGUGCGAAGAAGGCCUUCGGGUUGUAAAGCACUUUUUGGAAGGAUUAGGAAGGAAUGUACUUCCAGAAUAAGUCUCGGCUAACUACGUGCCAGCAGCCGCGGUAACACGUAGGAGGCAAACGUUAUCCGGAUUUACUGGGCGUAAAGCGUGUGUAGGCGGUUUGAUAAGUUGGAUGUGAAAGCUCCUGGCUUAACUGGGAGAGGUCGUUCAAAACUAUCAGACUUGAGAGUGGUAGAGGGAGGUGGAAUUCCGCAUGUAGUGGUGAAAUGCGUAGAUAUGCGGAGGAACACCAGUGGCGAAGGCGGCCUACUGGGCUCUAACUGACGCUGAGGCUCGAAAGUGUGGGGAGCAAACA
This 402-nucleotide ribosomal RNA is filed under the name uncultured prokaryote. RNAcentral's name for it is "bacterial SSU rRNA". It matches the Rfam family "Bacterial small subunit ribosomal RNA", at positions 355 to 774 of the family's 1533-position model. The record is from RNAcentral.